Molecule: ribosomal RNA, 357 nt
Filed under: uncultured bacterium
Lineage: Bacteria
Description: bacterial SSU rRNA
Rfam family: Bacterial small subunit ribosomal RNA
Source: RNAcentral
AACGAACGCUGGCGGCAUGCCUAACACAUGCAAGUCGAACGAGACCUUCGGGUCUAGUGGCGCACGGGUGCGUAACGCGUGGGAACCUGCCUUUAGGUUCGGAAUAAACUCAGAGAAAUUUGAGCUAAUACCGGAUGAUGUCUUCGGGACCAAAAGAUUUAUCGCCUUUAGAUGGGCCCGCGUAAGAUUAGCUAGUUGGUGGGGUAAAGCCUACCAAGGCGACGAUCUUUAGCUGGUCUGAGAGGAUGAUCAGCCAACACUGGGACUGAGACACGGCCCAGACUCCUACGGGAGGCAGCAGUGGGAAUAUUGGACAAUGGGCGAAAGACCUGAUCCAGCAAUGCCGCGUGAGUGAUG